This 1508-nucleotide unclassified non-coding RNA is filed under the name Hevea brasiliensis (rubber tree). Lineage: Eukaryota; Viridiplantae; Streptophyta; Magnoliopsida; Malpighiales; Euphorbiaceae. The record is from RNAcentral.
UUCAUCUUCAACGGUUUCCUUUAGAGGAGACCUUAGAAACUGAAUGUCCAACUGAUUUUGCUGAAACCCGCUCCGGUUGAAAGUCUGAAGUCUGACAAAUUCUUGCAAACUUUUAAGGCAAAGUUUUACUAUAGUUGUUACCACAGAUUCCUGUGUAAAUUCAGUUUUUGUAAAAAUCUCAACUUUUUGCUUGAACAAUUUUGCUAGGUGGGUUUCCAGAAGCUGGCUCCUGGCCCUUUGGGUAUUUGUCCGAGUCAUUCUAUCAUCUCGUAAUGGAUUGCUGCGAGAGGAUGUGGUGCUGCCAUUGCUUUCAGAACGACGAUGCUUGCGAAGACCUCCUUCAGGCAAAAGCUGCUUCACCUCAGCACCUAUUGCUUCCAACUCUUGAAGAAAUAAAUCAACAAACAUAUGAACUUCUCUUGGCUCCUUGUGCUUGACCCAGUUUGGAGCUUUAAACCUCUUCUUCAGGAGAACUGAUACUCUCUGAGUUCUCAUAGUUAUAUAAUGGUGUAGAAACUUUUCACCAGCUGACCGAAAGAUUCGACAAAUUUCACCAGGAACAAAAGCAGGCCCAUUUUCAUAGCCUCGUACACCACUGCCAGAGAAAGAAGUAGCUAUUUCCUCAGUAAUUUUUGGAACAGCAGUUUGUUCAAUAAAAACAGAAAGUUGAGCCAACACCAGGACAAGACCUGCAAGCACUUUGUCAACCACCUUUCCCUCUGUCAAACCUUGUGCUUGACUGACUGAUUUAUUUCUUCCAGAAAGUAAGAGGAAAUGAUCAUCCAGAGCCCUGAAGAAUUCCUGAAAUCCUUCUUGAAUCCAAUCAACAAUCGAGUCUCUCAACUUUAGAAGUAACCCUAAGUUGUCAUCAACAAGAUGGCGCAAGUCCACUAAGACAUCCAUGCUUCCUUUAAGCACUGCAUUUUUGCUGGUUUCCAGGGCAACCUGCAAGGGAUUCUCUUCCACUCCCUCUUUUUGUUUCAUAUGAAUGUUGACAAUGAGGGCAUCUGAGAUAUCAUGCAGAAGGUGAGAAAAUGUGAUUGCAACAUAUUGCUUGACAACCCGCUGGGCAGCCUCCAAAGAAUAAUCAGGGAGAAAUGCCUCAUUUAAUACUUCAUCCAUCAGAAGCACAUCUCUCCAUAUAACUCGGAGAAAACCCAAAAACUUUGCAACAGAAAUCUGUUCCUUUAUGUUUUGCUCAGUGAUUUCAAAGUGCUUGGUAAUCAAGUCUUGAGAGAGUUUAAUUAGUUGCUUUUCUGAGUCAGGAAAUAUUACUCGAUAAGCUUUGAUAGCCUCCGCAAACUCAUGAACAGAAGCAUCAAUUGUGCUUGUAGUUUUUGAAGUAUCAUUAGAGUCCUCCAAAAAAUUGGUUAUUUCUUCUCUCUUGAGCUGAAGAUCCUGAAGCAAUUGUUCUAACUUUUCAAAAAGUUUAGCCUUUAAGCUGUCCACCGGAAAAUCCAACUGCUUAAGCAGCACUGCAGCCUCAGCCCUUGCUUGUAUGGAUUCAG